AUGGAUUCUGGUGUGAACAAGAGCGUGUGAAAGGGACGGAGUCAUUUCAAAUUGAACAUUUAAGUGAGAGCGUGAUACAACGUAUAGAGAAACUAGCACAUGGGCAAGAUUUGUCCCACAACAGCAAAAAAUAUAAAAUGUUUUUGUAUGCAUGUGUUUGCUCUCAUUUUUGCUUGUUAAUGUCUCUUUAAGACUCAAUCACUCAGAGUAAGUCUCUUUCUAAUAACUCACUCGAGACCUAUAGCUAAGCCUCGGCACAAGACCCAUU
Molecule: non-coding RNA, 268 nt
Organism: Pelobates cultripes (western spadefoot toad)
Lineage: Eukaryota; Metazoa; Chordata; Amphibia; Anura; Pelobatidae
Source: the annotation of a GenBank genome assembly